UACAUAUUAUAUUAUACAAUUUGUAUAAAAUGUGAUGGAGUUGUAAAAUAUGUGACACUAUUUUUUUGUAUCUAUUAACUUUAAGAAACACUUGAAUAAGUAAUAUUCUUUUAUGAAGUCCUUCACUGUUGCACGUAUAGUGGUAUCAUGACCUGCUUCUCAUUUAGUCUAGUUUGCCACGUUUAAUUGCUAUUAACCUUUUGAGAAACUGAUCAGUGUUCAGACAGGCACAGUUUUAGCCUUGGUGCUCAGUAGUAAUAAUGGAGAAAAAAUUAUCUCUUCUUCUUGCCUUUUGCUCCCUGAGUCUACUACUGUGAAUAAUUAGGGAGACUGUCAGAACUUUUGUGGCCUGUUGAACAUGUUGAAUGUGAGCGUAGAGCACUUCCCUACCUUUAUUUCACAUUUUGCAUAUUUAAUAUGACCAUUUAGUCUAGCAUAGACAUUACAAUGACAAGUCUUUCUCCUCUUUAGUCAUCUGCUGCAGUUUAAUUAGCAGGGUGUUCUUUCUAAUCUAUGUGCUUUACCUUUUGCAAGCCCAAGAGGAACAGAGCUUAAGUCUUGUGCUCAUUUGCUGACACAGCUUAGAUUUUGUAAUGAGGCAGAAGGAUCCUAAUGUGCUCAGAUGGGAGCCAACUUUGGGCAAGUGUAUGUCUGUUCUCAGAAAUGUUUCUUGUCUUACAUCAGAUAGAAGUUUUAACACAUUAUAAUCUGACUUUUCAGCUUGUCAAAUGAAAAACCACUUAACUUUGCUUAGGGAAGUAUAUUCAAGAGAAGAAAUAGGAUGCUAACUACUUUGAACUGGCAUAUAGAUGUUUGGCAAGUACCAAUGUAACAUAGCUGAUGAAACUAGUAUUCCUUUAAAAGUAAGAAUAUAUAGAAAGGUAAAAGUAAGUAAGAAUAUAUAGAAAGAAGGAAACCUCCUUUAUAUAUAUGACAUCUAGUAGAAGUUAUCAAAAGAUAUUAAAAAGAGCUGAUCAUUAGUUUCCUUAAUAGAAAAAAAGAUACUUUAAUGCUAUGCUGACUUCUGUAUGUUGUUCCUAAUCCUAAUUGUAUUUUUACAUGAUAUACUUCAGCCCUCUGCUGCCAACUGUUUAGUAGUUUGAAGGCCCUUUUCAUGCAUAGUUUGUUUCAGUGAUAAAGAAUAAAUUAGGUGCAUCCAUGUACUUUUCCUAUAUGGACUUAAAUAUGGCUACAAUUACAAUUUUUAAUAAAACAGAAGGAACUUGUGACUAGACGAAUACAUGCACAUUCCUGUCAUAAUAGGUGAAUAAUUGAGAGCAUAUAUUAAUACAGAUUUGCUGCUGUAGCAUAUAUUUUUCUUAUUCUUUUUGUUAUUACUGUAAUAAGUAAUUUCUGUAAUAACAUCACUGUAGAUUAGUGAUGUUAAAUUAGUUUUUAUAAACAAUAACUUUCCAGAUGUUGUUGAACUGUAACUCCCAAUAUUCAUUGCUGAUGGUGAUGCUAAUUGGAACUGCAAGGAGUUUUGAUUCAUUAGAUCAUGAAUGCAUUAGAUCAUCUUCAUUAAUCUGAAAAAUCAUACAAUUAAAUAUUUCAGAAUGGUACCAGUUUUAAUGUUUCUAAUCACUGACAAUAUUGGAAUGUGAGUUGGACAUGUGUGCACAUCUGGUGUUGCUGGGCUAUAUUUACAUUCAGGAUAACUUUCUGAAAUAUGAAAUUAUUUGGAAUAAAUCAUAAUCCCUAAUAGUCACUGUUGGACUAGCCUUGCUCAUCAACUCUAAUUGUGUCUACUUAUGUGCUAUUAAUGCUGCUAACAUGGUUACUGGUGACACUAAUGAAGAAGGAACAGGCAAAAUUCAACAGUUUAGUUGAUAGCCCUCACUGCAGGAUCAUGGCAAAUUGCAUGCUUGGUUGACAGUAGUGGUACUCUCAAACUUGGCUGUCGGGAAGAAGCUUUGUAAAUUUAAAUCAGUGACUUCUCCCCACCUUUUCUUACAGAUGUUGUUUUAGCAAAUUCAUUGUUUAAUGUAGCUGUUCAUAAAAUGGAAGUUUGCUUUGUAUUAUGAUAACCUGCAUCUAAUUUAGAGAGGCUUUGCAGGAACGUAGUCCCUAAGCAUUUGUAUCAAAGUUGCUAAUCCGACGUUUAGUAUUAGUCUGUACUGUGGAAAUUGUGCUUUGCAAUACAGGGUGUUUCCUUGAUUUCUAAAAGAGAAGUGAUGGCUUUGCAGCUGAUUCCCAUCAUAGCUUCCCCAGUAGCACUUUGAUGGGUGUUGCAGGAGAAUGCGCAGUUUACAUCCUCAGCAAAUUCUCUAAGAGACUUUUGCUCUUCUGCAUUUGCAAGUGAUAGGGACAAGGCAAGGAAAAGCUUCAAGGCAACGUGAAGUCCUUUGUUGAAGCAUGUUGUAGUCUCUUUGCUUCAAUGAAGAAAAUAACAUAGGCUCAACAGUAUGAAUGUGUUUGUCAAGAUAAAUGCCACUUCACACACUUACCUAGUGGAUUAUUUAGAAUAUUAUUGGCUUGUGAACGUAAGAGGUCAUGGUAAUAAUAACAAGAAUGAGAACAAUUUUGUGAGCAAAAUACAUUCAGUAAAAUCAAAUAUUUCUUUCGCAGGAUGAUGAGGCAAGUGCAUCUUCUGCUCCAGAUCCACCAGAUCCGCGCUUACAUAACCGUGCGACAGGUUUUUGUUUUGAUUCCAGUUUUGUGCACAUCAAGAAAUGUCCACUCUGUGAAGUGAUGUUUCCUCCUAACUAUGAUCAAACCAAGUUUGAAGAACAUGUUGAAAGUCACUGGAAGGUGUGUCCAAUGUGCUGUGAACAGUUUCCUCCUGAUUAUGACCAGCAAACUUUUGAAAACCAUGUUCAAACACAUUUUGAUCAUAAUGUUUUAAAUUUUGAUUAGUUUGGGGCAUCAUUAUGCAGCAUAAUAGGGAGAAGUUGAUUAAGAUCUAUAAGACAAGAGAAUGCUUCAUGAAUGGUGUAAGCUUAAAGAGAUAGUGGUCAGCAUUGCAGCUGAUUAGAAUAAAGCUUUGACCGAUUACCAAGUAUUUCUUAAUCUAGAACACACCCAAAUAUGUUGUAUCUGUCACUAUUUAUUCCUUGGCUAACAAUUCAUAUGAACACAGGAAAUGUGCAGACUUGUUUAGAAAUCUCCAGAAUUCAGUUUGUGGUGCGAUGACAGUUUUCCUCUUGCUUGUUCUAACAUAUUAAAGUUCAUUCCUUAAUAAAAUGAAGUUUUUCAAUAAA
Molecule: non-coding RNA, 3200 nt
Organism: Python bivittatus (Burmese python)
Lineage: Eukaryota; Metazoa; Chordata; Lepidosauria; Squamata; Pythonidae
Source: RefSeq, a predicted model, not a curated record